RNAcentral lists this ribosomal RNA (506 nucleotides) under uncultured Caryophanales bacterium. Its description in RNAcentral is "bacterial SSU rRNA". It matches the Rfam family "Bacterial small subunit ribosomal RNA", at positions 21 to 507 of the family's 1533-position model. Lineage: Bacteria; Bacillati; Bacillota; Bacilli; Caryophanales. The record is from RNAcentral.
GGCUCAGGACAACGGCUGGCGGCAUGCCUAAUACAUGCAAGUCGAGCGAACGGAUGAGGAGCUUGCUCCUCUGACGUUAGCGGCGAAUGGGCGAGUAACACGUGGGCAACCUGCCCUGUAGUUGGGGAGUAACUCCGGGAAACCGGGGCUAAUACCGAAUGAUUAAUUCUUUCUCAUGAAAGGAUUCUGAAAGACGGCUUCGGCUGUCGCUACGGGAUGGGCCCGCGGCGCAUUAGCUAGUUGGUAAGGUAACGGCUUACCAAGGCGACGAUGCGUAGCCGACCUGAGAGGGUGAUCGGCCACACUGGGACUGGGACACGGCCCAGACUCCUACGGGAGGCAGCAGUAGGGAAUCAUCCACAAUGGACGAAAGUCUGAUGGUGCAAUGCCGCGUGAGCGAAGAAGGUUUUCGGAUCGUAAAGCUCUGUUAUGAGGGAAGAACAAGUACAAGAGUAACUGCUUGUACCUUGACGGUACCUCAUUAGAAAGCCACGGCUAACUACGUG